Molecule: ribosomal RNA, 831 nt
Filed under: uncultured eukaryote
Lineage: Eukaryota
Description: partial Eukaryotic large subunit ribosomal RNA
Rfam family: Eukaryotic large subunit ribosomal RNA
Source: RNAcentral
AGGAUUCCCCUAGUAAGGGGGACUGAAGCGGGAAGAGCUCACAGUGUGAAUCUGCACUCUAGUAGUGCCGAAUUGUGGUCUGUAGAAGUUUGUGUUUGGCCGGCCGGGUUAAGUCCCUUGGAAAAGGGCAGCAGAGAGGGUGAGACUCCCGUUCUUGCCUGGGUUUGGCCAUUUGACACUUACUUUCAACGAGUCGAGUUGUUUGGGAUUGCAGCUCAAAGUGGGUGGUAAAUUCCAUCUAAAGCUAAAUAUGGGUGGGAGACCGAUAGCGUACAAGUACCGUGAGGGAAAGAUGCAAAGAACUUUGAAAAGAGAGUUAAAGAGUACCUGAAAUUGCUGAAAGGGAAGCGAAGGAAACCAGUGCUUGGCUUGGUCAUAUUUCUCGAAUCGCUUGCGGUUUGGGCGCUGUGUCGUUGCCUUUGUCAUUUUUGCUUGUUCUCGGCGGAAACGUGUGUUCGGGAGGUAGCGCUUGCGUGAUACCGUUCACAUUAUUGCUGGGUUUGAGUGAGGCUGACGAAAUGGUUUUCUUUACCCCGUCUAGUAACACGGACCAAGGAGUCUAACAUGUGUGCGAGUCGGCGGGUUUGAAAACCUGCGAGGCGCAAGGAAGCUGACGGGCGAGAUCCCCUCUCUUGGGGGGGGUGCAUCGUCGACCGACCUUGAGCUUAUGCGAAGGGUUCGAGUGCGAGCACACCUGUUGGGACCCGAAAGAUGGUGAACUAUGCCUGAAUAGGGUGAAGCCAGGGGAAACUCUGGUGGAGGCUCGUAGCGAUUCUGACGUGCAAAUCGAUCGUCAAAUUUGGGUAUAGGGGCGAAAGACUAAUCGAACCA